Molecule: ribosomal RNA, 478 nt
Filed under: uncultured bacterium
Lineage: Bacteria
Description: partial 16S ribosomal RNA
Rfam family: Bacterial small subunit ribosomal RNA
Source: RNAcentral
GACGAACGCUGGCGGCGUGCUUAACACAUGCAAGUCGAACGGUAAGGCCCUUCGGGGUACACGAGUGGCGAACGGGUGAGUAACACGUGGGUGAUCUGCCCUGCACUUCGGGAUAAGCCUGGGAAACUGGGUCUAAUACCGGAUAGGACUCCUGGCUUCAUGGUUGGGGGUGGAAAGCUUUUGCGGUGUGGGAUGGGCCCGCGGCCUAUCAGCUUGUUGGUGGGGUAAUGGCCUACCAAGGCGACGACGGGUAGCCGGCCUGAGAGGGUGACCGGUCACACUGGGACUGAGAUACGGCCCAGACCCAUACGGGAGGCAGCAGUGGGGAAGAUUGCACAAUGGGCGCAAGCCUGAUGCAGCGACGCCGCGUGAGGGAUGACGGCCUUCGGGUUGUAAACCUCUUUCAGCUAUGACGAAGCGCAAGUGACGGUAGUAGCAGAAGAAGGACCGGCCAACUACGUGCCAGCAGCCGCGGUAA